Molecule: long non-coding RNA, 768 nt
Organism: Mustela erminea (ermine)
Lineage: Eukaryota; Metazoa; Chordata; Mammalia; Carnivora; Mustelidae
Exons: 4
Source: RefSeq, a predicted model, not a curated record
GCUGCCAAAGCACAAGAAGAAGAACACAGGUUCCCCCACUGUCUGAAAGUAGAGUGUUUCUACGAAGGUCUUGAAAACUGAACUGGCAAAAGGCAAAGAAGCAGUUAACGUCUCAUGAAAGGGAAAAUCCUCUUUGGGUUUCUACUGGUUCGUGAAAACAGAUAUUGUGUACUAAAGGACCAUUCUACAAGAUGUUUUCUUACAACAGAGGAUAUUCCUUUUCUUCUCUGCUGGGCAAACAAGGGCAUGGAUAUCUGAUCUUCUGACUGAAAGCCUGAAGAGUCUCCAUCUCCUCAGUACUGAAAGAUCAAGGGAUCGAAUAGGCAGCUUCAUAUCCAUGUGUCUUCACACUCUGGAAAUGAAAUCGACUGUGGUAGUCAUGGGCUACUUGGAUGUCAUGCUGUGGAAAUGGCAUAAGUGAACAGCAACCCCAGAUCCAUGCUACCCUCUGGAUCCGUGACCACAUUCUCAGAAGCCACACUUCAGGUAAAUUGCUAUUCUGUAAUGGCUAAGCAUAGAUGCCAAGGCUUCCUCCAUAAGAUGCAGGCUUCCUCCAGUGAGUGACUUUGGCUCAAAGACUCCCAUCAACUCGGCUAAAACUUUCUUGCAACUGCACUGGAAUCUCAGAUUCUCCCUAUCCAACCCUCCUCCCUUCCCUUUCUGCUUCCCAGGAAUCAGACCUGCAUCAUGGUCUGAGGCAUCUUCCUACAUAUUCCUUCUUCCUCCUUCCUUACCCUUCACAGGUGUUUUCUUCAAUAAAUCUGUCAC